GUAAUGCAGCUGACGGUACCAUCAAAGGAAGCACCGGCUAACUCCGUGCCAGCAGCCGCGGUAAUACGGAGGGUGCAAGCGUUGUUCGGAAUCACUGGGCGUAAAGGGAGCGUAGGCGGACCCUGAAAGUCUGAUGUGAAAGCCCGGGGCUCAACUCCGGAAGUGCAUUGGAAACUUCAGGGUCUUGAGUUCGGGAGAGGAAGGCAGAAUUCCCGGUGUAGGGCUGGGAUGCA
RNAcentral lists this ribosomal RNA (233 nucleotides) under uncultured Deferrisoma sp. RNAcentral's name for it is "partial 16S ribosomal RNA". It matches the Rfam family "Bacterial small subunit ribosomal RNA", at positions 460 to 690 of the family's 1533-position model. Lineage: Bacteria; Pseudomonadati; Thermodesulfobacteriota; Deferrisomatia; Deferrisomatales; Deferrisomataceae. The record is from RNAcentral.